This 217-nucleotide unclassified non-coding RNA is filed under the name Hevea brasiliensis (rubber tree). The record is from RNAcentral. Lineage: Eukaryota; Viridiplantae; Streptophyta; Magnoliopsida; Malpighiales; Euphorbiaceae.
UGAUCAGAAGGGUUCUUCUAGUUCCCACAGGAGCAGAUCUAGGUCGCCUGAUCGAAGUCCUGUUGGAUCACGAUUGCAACGCUCAGAAUCCCAAAGGUCUUAUACAGUUCACCCACGUAAUACAUCACAGUAUCAACAAAGAUUUGGUAGACAGGACAAGAUUGUGGAAGAUCGCAUUCGUGAGGAUAUGCAGAAGUUUUCUAGGAGUUCUCCACAA